RNAcentral lists this ribosomal RNA (443 nucleotides) under uncultured bacterium. RNAcentral describes it as "SSU rRNA". It matches the Rfam family "Bacterial small subunit ribosomal RNA", at positions 26 to 518 of the family's 1533-position model. The record is from RNAcentral.
AGAACGAACGCUGGCGGCAGGCUUAACACAUGCAAGUCGAACGCCCCGCAAGGGGAGUGGCAGACGGGUGAGUAACGCGUGGGAAUCUACCCAAUUCUUCGGAACAACUGAGGGAAACUUCAGCUAAUACCGGAUGUGCCCUUCGGGGGAAAGAUUUAUCGGAAUUGGAUGAGCCCGCGUUGGAUUAGCUAGUUGGUGGGGUAAAGGCCUACCAAGGCGACGAUCCAUAGCUGGUCUGAGAGGAUGAUCAGCCACACUGGGACUGAGACACGGCCCAGACUCCUACGGGAGGCAGCAGUGGGGAAUAUUGGACAAUGGGCGCAAGCCUGAUCCAGCCAUGCCGCGUGAGUGAUGAAGGUCUUAGGAUUGUAAAGCUCUUUCACCGGUGAAGAUAAUGACGGUAACCGGAGAAGAAGCCCGGCUAACUUCGUGCCAGCAGCCGC